GCUCCCCUUAAAGCGGCGGACUGGUGAGUAACGCGUGGGUGAUCUACCUUGAGGAUGGGGAUAGCUGUUAGAAAUAGCAGUGUAAUACCGAAUACGACUAGCCUUGCUGUGUGCAGCGUUAUGAAAGAGGCUUUGGCCUCACCUUAAGAUGAGCCCGCGUCCCAUUAGCUAGUUGGAGGUGUAAAGGACCACCAAGGCGAAAGAUGGGUAGCCGAGCCUGAGAGUGGUGAACGGCCACAUUGGGACUGAGAUACGUGCCCAGACUCCUACGGGAGUGCAGCAGCUAAGAAUAUUCCUGCAAUGGACGAAAGUCUGACGGAGCGACGCCGCGUGGAUGAGGAAGGCCGAAAGGUUGUAAAAUCCUUUUGCCGACGAAGAAUAAUCACAGUAGGGAAUGAUUGUGAGAUGACGUUAGUCGGACGAAUAAUGCCCCGGCUAAUUAC
This 443-nucleotide ribosomal RNA is filed under the name uncultured bacterium. RNAcentral describes it as "bacterial SSU rRNA". It matches the Rfam family "Bacterial small subunit ribosomal RNA", at positions 83 to 504 of the family's 1533-position model. The record is from RNAcentral.